Molecule: ribosomal RNA, 429 nt
Filed under: Chloroflexota bacterium
Lineage: Bacteria; Bacillati; Chloroflexota
Description: Chloroflexi bacterium partial 16S ribosomal RNA
Rfam family: Bacterial small subunit ribosomal RNA
Source: RNAcentral
UGGGGAAUAUUGCACAAUGGGCGCAAGCCUGAUGCAGCCAUGCCGCGUGUGUGAAGAAGGCCUUCGGGUUGUAAAGCACUUUCAGCGGGGAGGAAGGCGGUGAGGUUAAUAACCUCAUCGAUUGACGUUACCCGCAGAAGAAGCACCGGCUAACUCCGUGCCAGCAGCCGCGGUAAUACGGAGGGUGCAAGCGUUAAUCGGAAUUACUGGGCGUAAAGCGCACGCAGGCGGUCUGUCAAGUCGGAUGUGAAAUCCCCGGGCUCAACCUGGGAACUGCAUUCGAAACUGGCAGGCUAGAGUCUUGUAGAGGGGGGUAGAAUUCCAGGUGUAGCGGUGAAAUGCGUAGAGCUCUGGAGGAAUACCGGUGGCGAAGGCGGCCCCCUGGACAAAGACUGACGCUCAGGUGCGAAAGCGUGGGGAGCAAACAGG